UUAUGGAAUUGCUCGAAAUGAUUUCCGAUCGGAAUGAUUUAGUUUACCUACAGUUUCUUUAAAAAACACAAUAGAAAUAUAGGAAAUAAUUUAAUUAUUUUGAUCGGAAUCCAUUUCGAAUAAUUCCAUUAUACGUUUUCUAGUUAUUAUUCGAUCAACAAGAUGGAUGAGUAACUAACACUGUUUUAACCAUCACUCCUUCAAAAUAUUGUGAAGUGUCUGAAUGUAAGCUAAGUUUAAUUUUAUAUAUAAUUUAACCAAACUGGUAAAGAAGAUAUCAUCAAGCAUAAUUAUGAGGUGAUAUGUAUGCAACUAUGUUCUCCAUUAAUUAAAAAAUGCAAGAUGACUAUGCAAUAUGUCUAACAAAAAAUACAGAAAUAGGAAAAAUAUAGAAAUAGAAAGGUUUCCUCCAAAGUUAGAUAAUAAACAAAGAAGAGUUUGUUUAAUUUUACUGGUGAUGAUUGUCUACAUGGAAUCGAUCAUAUGGUGACAGUUAU
Molecule: long non-coding RNA, 497 nt
Organism: Atta colombica
Lineage: Eukaryota; Metazoa; Arthropoda; Insecta; Hymenoptera; Formicidae
Exons: 3
Source: RefSeq, a predicted model, not a curated record